RNAcentral lists this ribosomal RNA (250 nucleotides) under uncultured prokaryote. Its description in RNAcentral is "partial 16S ribosomal RNA". It matches the Rfam family "Bacterial small subunit ribosomal RNA", at positions 524 to 773 of the family's 1533-position model. The record is from RNAcentral.
UACAUAGGGGGCAAGCGUUGUCCGGAAUUAUUGGGUGUAAAGGGUGCGUAGAUGGAGGAGCAAGUUGGCUGUGAAAUCCCUCGGCUUAACUGAGGAACUGCGACCAAAACUACUUCCCUUGAGUGUCGGAGGGGAAAGUGGAAUUCCUAGUGUAGCGGUGAAAUGCGUAGAUAUUAGGAGGAACACCGGUGGCGAAGGUGACUUUCUGGAGGAUAACUGACAUUGAGGCAUGAAAGUGUGGGGAGCAAAC